UGUGAGCAGGAGUGAGACAGGGCCAGAGGGGUUCGGUUUGAGCAGGAGUGAGAUAGGGCCAGAGGGUCUCGGUGUGAGCAGGAGUGAGACAGGGCCAGAGGGUCACACUGUGAGCAGGAGUGAGACAGGGCCAGAGGGUCUCGGUGUGAGCAGCAGUGAGACAGGGCCAGAGGGUCUCAAUGUGAGCAGGAGUGAGACGGGGUCAGAGGGUCUCAGUGUGAGCAGGAGUGAGUAGAUCUCAGCAGCAGUCAGAGCAAUAUCUUGCACUCGGAGGUGACAGUAGCGCUGUCACAGUAGCGCUGCAUGUUUAACACACUUCUCUGUCUGUCCAGCAGGGGGCAGACCUGGGGUCAGUGGAAACGAUGCCGAGCAGAGUGUGGGGGACAGCGGGGGUGUCAGCGUCACGCUGGCUGCUGCUGGUGACGAUCUUCGGGCGUCUGGGGCGCCCCUCCGCAGAUCUGUCCUACCUCGGCUCCUCGGUCAGUGUGCAGCCCCUGGGGCAGGGGGCCAGCCUGCAGGUGUCAGUGCAGUACAGUGUACUGGCUGCCCGGCCCUGCCCUGCGGCCCUGCCGGGGAUGUGUGGGGAAGACAACUGCACCUCCCUCGCUGCCCCCCAGGGCCUCACACCACACCCCGGCUGGUGUCUCCUCCGCGGGGGGGUUAUCGUCCCUGGAAAUCACUCCUCUCUACUGCAGCUGAGGCCCAGUCUGUGCUGCUGGCGUGCUGCAGACAGAGCUGCAGUGGUUCUACCCCUCUCGGCCCAGCUGGCUCUGCGCUCCGACACCGGUGCUGUGAACAGCCCCCCGCAGGCGGCCCUCCUGCCCCCAGUCAGGCUCGUUGCAAACUGCCCUCGCCAGAUCAAUCUCAGCGUGUGGGACGCGGACGGAGACAGGGUACGCUGUCGCUACGGGCAACAGGAGCAAGGAGAGUGCCAGCUGUGCUCCCAGCAUGCCUUCCUGCAGAUAGACGAGGAGCGCUGUGUGCUGAACUACAGAGGCUCUGGGCCCAUGGGGCAGUUCUCACUGGAGCUGGUGCUGGAGGAUUUCCCCCACAAGCCCCUCAACCUGACCCACGGCACCGACAGAGAACAAGGACUCCCCUCCCUGAGCAGAACCACAGACCCACUAAGCUCCAUUCCACUGCAGCUCACCAUCACUGUGGAAGCUGCAGUUCCUGACUGUGACCCUGCGUCUCAGCCCAGGUUCACACGCCAGACGCCAGCAGGAGGCGCAAGCUUAGCUCUGCUGCCCUAUGAAGAGCUCAACAUCACUUUCUCCUCCCAGAGCCCUCUGGACAGGGUGUCAGAAAUCGCAGUCAUUGGUCCUCCUGGCCUCCAGGUGUCAGCACUGCAAGAGGACAAUACAGAGGGAGCAGGGCUUCUGGCAUCAGUCAACAUCAUGUGGAUCAGAACGACCAAUCAGCUGCUCCUCCUGAUUCCUGUCUGCUUCACUGUUAAUACUGCCAGGUUCCAGUCAGAGUCCCGGUGCCUGUGGAUUGAACAGAGGAAGCCAGGCUCCGCCCCCCCCGGAUCAGGUAACAAGUAA
RNAcentral lists this long non-coding RNA (1544 nucleotides) under Lepisosteus oculatus (spotted gar). Its description in RNAcentral is "lncRNA (ENSLOCG00000022252.1)". The record is from RNAcentral. Lineage: Eukaryota; Metazoa; Chordata; Actinopteri; Semionotiformes; Lepisosteidae.